RNAcentral lists this ribosomal RNA (253 nucleotides) under uncultured bacterium. RNAcentral describes it as "partial 16S ribosomal RNA". It matches the Rfam family "Bacterial small subunit ribosomal RNA", at positions 524 to 776 of the family's 1533-position model. The record is from RNAcentral.
UACGUAGGGACCAAGCGUUGUCCGGAAUCAUUGGGCGUAAAGAGCGUGUAGGCGGCUUGUUAAGUCUUGCGUGAAAUCUCGGGGCUCAACCCCGAGCGGUCGUGAGAAACUGGCAGGCUAGAGUGCGGGAGAGGAGAGUGGAAUUCCUGGUGUAGCGGUGAAAUGCGCAGAUAUCAGGAGGAACACCGGUGGCGAAGGCGGGAUCCUGGGCCAGUACUGACGCUGAGGAGCGAAAGCGUGGGGAGCAAACAGG